This 539-nucleotide ribosomal RNA is filed under the name uncultured Gammaproteobacteria bacterium. RNAcentral's name for it is "bacterial SSU rRNA". It matches the Rfam family "Bacterial small subunit ribosomal RNA", at positions 58 to 585 of the family's 1533-position model. The record is from RNAcentral. Lineage: Bacteria; Pseudomonadati; Pseudomonadota; Gammaproteobacteria.
CAGGUCGCUAGGAUCCCUUCGGGGUGACUUUGAUGCUGACGAGCGGCGGACGGGUGAGUAACGCGUAGGAAUCUACCCAGUAGCGGGGGAUAGCCCGGGGAAACCCGGAUUAAUACCGCAUACGCCCUACGGGGGAAAGGGGGGGCUCUCUUCGGAGACCUCUCACUAUUGGAGGAGCCUGCGUUGGAUUAGCUUGUUGGUGAGGUAAAGGCUCACCAAGGCGACGAUCCAUAGCUGGUCUGAGAGGACGAUCAGCCACACUGGAACUGAGACACGGUCCAGACUCCUACGGGAGGCAGCAGUCGGGAAUAUUGUGCAAUGGGCGAAAGCCUGACACAGCCAUGCCGCGUGUGUGAAGAAGGCCUUAGGGUUGUAAAGCACUUUCAGUAAGGAAGAAAAAGCCGAGCCAAUAACUCGGUAAUAUGACAUUACUUACAGAAGAAGCACCGGCUAACUCCGUUCCAGCAGCCGCGGUAAUACGGAGGGUGCAAACGUUAAUCGGAAUUACUGGGCGUAAAGCGCGCGUAGGUGGUUUGUUA